CCUUGCCUCGUGGUGGGGGAUAGCCGGCCCAACGGCCGGGUAAUACCGCAUAUGGUAGUUUCUUCGCAUGGGGAGACUAGCAAAGCCGUGCAGCAAUGCACUGGCGCCACAGGGGGGGCUCGCGGCCUAUCAGCUAGUUGGGGGGGGUAAUGGCCCACCAAGGCGACGACGGGUAGCUGGUCUGAGAGGAUGGCCAGCCACAUUGGGACUGAGAGACGGCCCAG
RNAcentral lists this ribosomal RNA (224 nucleotides) under uncultured bacterium. Its description in RNAcentral is "partial 16S ribosomal RNA". It matches the Rfam family "Bacterial small subunit ribosomal RNA", at positions 124 to 334 of the family's 1533-position model. The record is from RNAcentral.